UGAACGCUAGCGACAGGCUUAACACAUGCAAGUCGAGGGGCAGCGGGGGUAGCGAUACCCGCCGGCGACCGGCGCACGGGUGAGUAACGCGUAUGCAACUUGCCUAUCAGAGGGGGAUAACCCGGCGAAAGUCGGACUAAUACCGCAUGAAGCAGGGGCCCCGCAUGGGGGUAUUUGCUAAAGAUUCAUCGCUGAUAGAUAGGCAUGCGUUCCAUUAGGCAGUUGGCGGGGUAACGGCCCACCAAACCGACGAUGGAUAGGGGUUCUGAGAGGAAGGUCCCCCACAUUGGUACUGAGACACGGACCAAACUCCUACGGGAGGCAGCAGUGAGGAAUAUUGGUCAAUGGCCGAGAGGCUGAACCAGCCAAGUCGCGUGAGGGAUGAAGGUUCUAUGGAUCGUAAACCUCUUUUAUAAGGGAAUAAAGUGCGGGACGUGUCCCGUUUUGUAUGUACCUUAUGAAUAAGGAUCGGCUAACUCCGUGCCAGCAGCCGCGGUAAUACGGAGGAUCCGAGCGUUAUCCGGAUUUAUUGGGUUUAAAGGGUGCGUAGGCGGCCUUUUAAGUCAGCGGUGAAAGUCUGUGGCUCAACCAUAGAAUUGCCGUUGAAACUGGGGGGCUUGAGUAUGUUUGAGGCAGGCGGAAUGCGUGGUGUAGCGGUGAAAUGCUUAGAUAUCACGCAGAACCCCGAUUGCGAAGGCAGCCUGCCAAGCCAUGACUGACGCUGAUGCACGAAAGCGUGGGGAUCAAACAGGAUUAGAUACCCUGGUAGUCCACGCAGUAAACGAUGAUCACUAGCUGUUUGCGAUACAUUGUAAGCGGCACAGCGAAAGCGUUAAGUGAUCCACCUGGGGAGUACGCCGGCAACGGUGAAACUCAAAGGAAUUGACGGGGGCCCGCACAAGCGGAGGAACAUGUGGUUUAAUUCGAUGAUACGCGAGGAACCUUACCCGGGUUUGAACGCAUUCGGACCGAGGUGGAAACACCUUUUCUAGCAAUAGCCGUUUGCGAGGUGCUGCAUGGUUGUCGUCAGCUCGUGCCGUGAGGUGUCGGCUUAAGUGCCAUAACGAGCGCAACCCUUGCCACUAGUUACUAACAGGUAAAGCUGAGGACUCUGGUGGGACUGCCAGCGUAAGCUGCGAGGAAGGCGGGGAUGACGUCAAAUCAGCACGGCCCUUACAUCCGGGGCGACACACGUGUUACAAUGGCGUGGACAAAGGGAAGCCACCUGGCGACAGGGAGCGAAUCCCCAAACCACGUCUCAGUUCGGAUCGGAGUCUGCAACCCGACUCCGUGAAGCUGGAUUCGCUAGUAAUCGCGCAUCAGCCAUGGCGCGGUGAAUACGUUCCCGGGCCUUGUACACACCGCCCGUCAAGCCAUGGGAGUCGGGGGUACCUGAAGUCCGUAACCGAAAGGAUCGGCCUAGGGUAAAACUGGUGACUGGGGCUAA
Molecule: ribosomal RNA, 1447 nt
Filed under: uncultured organism
Description: SSU rRNA
Rfam family: Bacterial small subunit ribosomal RNA
Source: RNAcentral